GCGGCCAUAGCUCAAAGGCAGAGCACCUGGUUGUGGCCCAGGAGGUUGUGGGUUCGAGCCCCACUGGUCGCC
This is a transfer RNA of Ardenticatena maritima, 72 nucleotides long. It matches the Rfam family "tRNA". Rfam says of the family: Transfer RNA (tRNA) molecules are approximately 80 nucleotides in length. Their secondary structure includes four short double-helical elements and three loops (D, anti-codon, and T loops). Further hydrogen bonds mediate the characteristic L-shaped molecular structure. tRNAs have two regions of fundamental functional importance: the anti-codon, which is responsible for specific mRNA codon recognition, and the 3' end, to which the tRNAs corresponding amino acid is attached (by aminoacyl-tRNA synthetases). tRNAs cope with the degeneracy of the genetic code in two manners: having more than one tRNA (with a specific anti-codon) for a particular amino acid; and 'wobble' base-pairing, i.e. permitting non-standard base-pairing at the 3rd anti-codon position. NCBI's taxonomy places the organism in Bacteria, Bacillati, Chloroflexota, Ardenticatenia, Ardenticatenales, Ardenticatenaceae. The record is from Rfam.